AAGGAACAGGUUGUUCUCCAGUGUCUGUCAAUAUGCGCUGCAAAUGGCUGCUUGUGAGUGUGAGGCAGCAACUAAGCUGGGGCAGUCGCCAGGCCUGCCGCCGCACGUCUUCGCGAGUGGGGUUAGUUUUUUUUUGUUUUUUGUUUUUUUCUUCACCCACUCGCUCUCAGAACACGCCCUUCUUCUGCCUCUGUCGUCGAGUUGCCAGACUCUCGUGUUGUGCUAAAAGAGAAGUCGAGUGGGUUCUUGUCCCCGAAUGAGUGAGGACUAUGUGCAGGCAGGAAAACAAUGGCGGAGGCCGGCGCACUUGAAGAACUCCAGUCGGAACUCACCUGUCCGGUGUGUCUGGAGAUCUUCCGCGAUCCCGUCAUCCUCGAGUGCGGACACCACUUCUGCCAGGUUUGCAUCGUUCAGUGCUGGGAGGCCAAGGCGGACGAGCUGUCCACUUGUCCCAAGUGCCGCAAAACCUGCGCGCGCAAACUGAGGCCCAACUCGCUCCUGUGUAACGUGGUUGAGAGCGUCCGUCGAGCCCGGGCCAUGGACGCCGUCGCCGGGGGUGAGGGCGGGGCCCCGCCGCCCGGCUGGGAGCCCGACGGUCCGCCGGAGGACCCCGAGGAGCGCGAGCCCGGCUCCAGCAUGAGCAGCCUCGCCUCGUCCGUCGGGCACUGGCCGCGCCUGUUCGGAAUGGACAUGUGCGAGGAACACGAGGAGAAACUCAAGCUGUACUGCGAGGACGACCAGCUGCCAAUAUGUCUGGUUUGUGGCAUGUCCCGGGACCACAAGACACACAACGUCAUCCCCAUUAACGAGGCCUUUGAGAACUACAAGGAUAAGCUUUCUGUGGCUCUGGAGAGAGUUCAGCAGCAGUCAGAGGAUGCCUCACUUUUCCAAAAAUGCACCAAUAAAAAAAUCCUUCUGAUUAAGGAACAAGCAGGGGAGCUGGAGGAAAUGGUCACUGCUGAAUUCGGCCAUCUGAGGGAAUUCCUCCAGGAGGAGGAGGAUCGCAUCAAGCAGAAAGUGCAGAAGCAAAAGGAGGAGAAACUCACAGAGCUGGAGGAGGCUCUCACGGAGGCCACGCAGCAAAUCAGCCGGCUGGAAAGCAUCGCUGACCAACUCCACCUCAAACUGAUGGAGGAAGAAAACCCCGAGCAACUCAAGGGAAUUAAAGAUUUCAUUGGCGGGGCUGAGAGCUUGUUUGAGCGGCCCCCAGAUGUGAGUGUGGAUCUGCAGUCAGGAGAGCUUCUGGGACCUUUGCAGUACAGGAUCUGGAGGAAAAUGAGCACAGUUUUUCAGCCUGCUGUGACGGCAGUGUCACUGGACACGGACACAGCCUACCCCUGUCUGUGGGUUUCCUUAUGCCGCACCAGCGUCCAGGUGGGCAAACUCCAGCCCAACCUGCCCAACAACCCGGAACGCUUCACUCGCUACAACAUCGUCCUCGGCUCGGAGGCCUUUUCUUCGGGCAGACACUACUGGGAGGUGGAGGUGGGGCCUAAGACGGCGUGGGGUCUCGGCGUGGCCCGAGCUUCUGUCAACAGGAAGGAUGAGAUUAACCUGUGCCCCGAGGACGGUUUCUGGACUGUGGUGAUGAGGGACAACGGAGACGGCACCAGCGAGUAUGAAGCGUGCACAGACACAGAGGAGGAUAGCUUGUUAUAUCCGGUCAAACCUCCCAGGCGGGUGGGAGUCUAUCUGGACUGCGGUCGCGGCGAGGUGGCAUUUUAUGACGCCGGAGACAUGAGCCACCUGUUCACCUUCUAUGAUGCCAAAUUCGAUGAGCCAGUUUACCCAUAUUUUAAUCCCUGGCCUGUUAUUAACGGAUACAACUGGGAGCCGCUGACCAUUGUCACGCCACACUGGGCAUAGAUUGGUUAGCACAUUUAGCUUCAAGAUGUUGAAAUGUGUUUUCUGGGGUAAAUGUAAUGGUGGUGAGAAAAGAUUGAUGACCAUACAGUGAACCUGCGCAUAUUCGCAGUUGAGCAUUCGCAAAUUCUGCGAUUUUUGAGAGUGAACCUUAAAUCAUUUAUUUCUGUUUUUGUGCUCAGGCAGUAAUGGUAAUUCUUUGGCGUCAUCUGGUGGCAUGUUGGUGCUGAAGUGGGUUGAGGAGCUUUCCGCCAUCUUGUGGUGUCUAUCGGAAAUUACAGUACAGUAUGUUUAGUAUAUAAAUGACUUUCAGAUUUUCAUUAUUCACGGCAGGGCUUGGUCCCUAACCCCACGAAUAGCGGGGGUUCACUGUAACAUGGAUAGGUUAAAAAAAAUACUAAAAGGAUAAUAGUAAAGAAAUAGCACAUUAUAGAACAAAGGUUAUUGUAUACAGUAUAGGGCCCUUGUGAAGAAUCUCCAAAACUAACCCUUUUUUUUUUUUGCAAGCGUGUGUAUCCUGUUGAAAAUGUAUGUAUUUGUGUGGUGCUGAACACAACCACCCCCAAAACUCAUUAAGUACUGCUUCCUGUAAACUUUGACUUGAUCAACACGAAACUCAAUGUCACCAAAAUCAUAACAGGAUUGCACGAAAAAGUCUCAAGGACCCAUGGUCAAAAUUGAAGAGGAAGUCAGACAAAGUGAUUGCCACCCGUUACAACAUAACUGUGAUUUAUCAUACUUAAGUUCACUUUCUCUAGCCACGCCCAGGCCUGAUACUGCCACAUCUGUUCUCAAUCAAGAAAUCACUUAAAUAGGACCUGCCUGACAAAGUGAAGUAGACCAAAAGAUCCUCAAAAGACAUCAUGCCGAGAUCUAAAGAAAUUCAGGAACAAAUGUGAAAGAAAGUAAUUGAGCUCUAUCAGUAUGGAAAAGGUUAUAAAGUCAUUUUUAAAGCUUUGGGACUCCAGCGAAACACAGUGAGAGCCAUUAUCCACAAAUAGUGAAAACAUAGAACAGCGGUGACCCUUCCCAGGAGUGGCCGGCCGACCAAAAUUACCCUAUGAGCGCAGCGACGACUCACCUAAGAGGUCCCAAAAGACCCCACAAGAACAUCCAAAGAACUGUGGGCCUUACUUGCCUCAGUUAAGGCCAGUAUUCAUGGCUCCACCACCAUAAGAGAGGGACUGGGCAAAAAAUGGCCUGCAUGGAAGAGUUCUCAGAUGAAAACCACUGCUGAGCAAAAAGAACAUUUAGGCGUAUCUCAAUUUUGCCAGAAGACAUCUUGAUGAUCCCCAAGACUUUUGGGAAACUACUCUGUGGUCCGACGAGACAAAACUUUUUGGAAGGUGUGUGUCCCGUUACAUCUGGCGUAUGAGUAAGAACACAUUUUAGAAAAACAACAUCAUACCAACAGUAAAAUAUGGUGGUGGUAGUGUAAUGUUCUGGGGCUGUUUUCUGCCGCAGGACCUCGAAGACUUGCUGUGAUAUAUGGAACCAUGAAUUCUGAUGGCUACCAAAAAGUCCCGAAGGAGAAUGUCCAGCCAUCUGAAAAACCAAAUGAAGACUGUAGUGGCCGACUCAAAGUCCUGACCUGAGAUGUUAUGGCAUGACCUUAAAAAGGCGGUUCCUGCUCGAAAACCCUCCAAUGGUGGCUGAAUUACAACAAUUCAUAAUUCCUCCACAGCGCUGUGAAUCAGCGGAUUCAAUGUCACCUCAUAGGGUCCACCAUGUACAAAGAGCUUCUUUUCCAGAGCCAGCUUGAUAAAUUGCUUUCGUGCUUGUGGAGUCAACUGGAUAUCUGUCACCUGUGAUACAAACAAAUACAUAAUGAGAAGAAGAACGUGUCUGACCUGAAUAAAUGUGUCUGUUAUUCAUGA
RNA transcript from Phycodurus eques (leafy seadragon), 3740 nucleotides. It is a transcript of the gene named E3 ubiquitin-protein ligase TRIM39-like, with no coding region annotated. NCBI's taxonomy places the organism in Eukaryota, Metazoa, Chordata, Actinopteri, Syngnathiformes, Syngnathidae. The record is from RefSeq and is a predicted model, not a curated record. The transcript has 7 exons.